ACAGCUGUGUUCAAUGUUCCAAAAACAUUGAUAUAGUCAGCUAUUUAACACCCCCAAACACACUUGCUGUUAUAUCCGUUAGAGCUCUUUUUUUUUCCUCCCUCUCUUUUUUACAACAAAAUUUACACAUCUUGGAUUUUAUUACUCCUUAGUGCUUAUUACUUUCUUUGGGGGGGGGGGAAGAAUACAGUCAAAUAUGGCAAAACAAAGCUGUCAGUCAAUACCAAGGAUAGACAUAGCACAUGGUGUAGAACAGAGUACAAGUUUAUCAACAAUGGUUAUCAACGUUGUCCCUUGUUUCCUUAAAAAGAAUUGUCUAUCUCAUUAGAUAUUAUAAAGUUGGACAAAACAGUAGAGAACAAGACCAAUAAAACUUAGGCAUUGUAAACAUUACAGGACUUCCAAAGAAGACAAUAGUCAAACCAGAAUGGGUAUCUUAGUGAAUCUUAUUGUCUUCAAAGUAGUUGCCUAUGUCUUCAAACUUGAUACUAUCAUAUAGAAUGGAACAGAGUCUAAUCAGUCAAAACAAGAUCGUGGGGAGUACUACAGGACUUCAAAACAAGUUAAUAGGAAAUCAAAAAGAGUUACUAUUUAUAUAUCCUAAUUUUUUUGAAUUUUUUCUUUAAUUAAGACAAACAUAAGAAAUGACUAAAUAAUUUUUUUUGAAACAAUAAGGGGGAGAUUGAGAUAAAACAGGACAUAACAAUAUAACAAUAGAGGUCACAGCAUGACUGUUUCAACAACCCAGUACUUCACCACCUUAUAACCUGACUUAAUAGUAGUUACCAUAGUGUCUUUUUCCUUGAAAUAUUUGGAUAAAACUUCAUAUACUCUAGCUUCAAAUAUUUUCAUAUCAAGAAGCCCAGAAUAAAGCCUUUCUAAUUAAUGAGUGAAAACUUUGGCAGUGUCUCUUUUACUGUAAUAAAUUAAAAAAAUUUUUUUCAAAUAUUCACCUUUUCAAUUGCACUGCAUAGACACUCUUGAUCCUAUUGGCAUACUUAAAUUAAUAAUGAAGAUUAUUUCUCCUCUUUUCUACUUUCUUUUCUGCCCAGGAGGUAAAGAAAAUUGGUUUUCAUUUUUUUCUUUUUCCUGGUAGAUGGCCCUCCUCGUUGAGUGAGGCCCCUCCAGGCUGUUCUCCCAUUAGUGUCUGCUUUUUGUUUUUACAACUUCAACCUAAGUGAUAUUCUCAGUAUGAAGGUGUUGGAAAACGACAGUCUUUGUGUUGUGACCCACAGAGACCGAUGUGAACUGGAAAGCCAUUCUUUUGCAGUUGCUUCUCUCCUGGGGAAGGAAACGGGCUAGAAAAACGCGGAACCACAUGGUGCAGGGUGGGUGAAGGCCAACAAGGGGCCGGCGGGGUCAGCGGGUGCGCACAUUUUCCCGGCAUCCUCUACGGUUUUGGCCAGACUUCACCUUCAGUAGCAACUCUGCCAAACUGCGUGGGCUGCGUUCCGAGGCUCCCAGAAAAUCCGCAAGUGGUGCUGACUCAUGGGAAAAGGCUGGGUCUGGCUGUUCACCAUGAUGAUGUGGCACAAAAGCUACGCAGAAUGCGGCAUUUUGACACCUGAACAGGAACCUGGAGUACAAAGAAACUCUCCAUAUAGUAGGGAGUGUUUGGAUGAUUGUAAGCCUGCUGAGAUGACCACACAGGAUUUGGCUUGCAGCACUACUAAGUCCUGAGCAGAAAAAUGUGAUCGUGGAGCAACAGCCACCCCUCGCCAUAGAGCGUGAACCCUCUAGCUAUGCUCAGUUAAGUAAGGAAGAAGCUGUUGGGAGUGGUGGUAAAGAAGACCUUUUCCCACUAGAGGAGUGUUCCACUGGACUUAUAUUUUGCAGCUGCCCAAAGUAAAACCAAAACCCUUAACUGUGUCACAAGUGACUACUUCCACUUUCUCAGUUCAGAAAAAUUUUGCUGCAUCACAGGCUGAGACCCAUCUUUCAUAGAAUAGAAUCAUCCCUUCUUUCUCCCUUGCAGUAAGUGCUAAAACAAGCAGAGAAGCAGGAGACCUCCUGGAGAGGUUUCAGCUUGUUUACCCUGUUGCUGAACUCCAGUAGCCCAGUAAUCCAUUUUCAUGAAGUUUUACCCUAUAAGUCCUUAAAAGAAUUAGAACAAGUGACUGCUACCUGUGGCUCAACAGUCCCGUUUACCUUAGGUUUUAUAGGGCUCAGAGGACAACAGGCUUCAAAUGAUUGGAAAGGAACAGGUAAAGUAUAUUUAAGCCUGGGAUUAUUAAUUGUGGGAGGGAAAUUUUUUGAACUGUACAUACAUUAGGUCACUUGCAGUACUGUUCCCAUCAUGACCAUUACAAGGGACAUGUUAAUUGGAGAAGGUACCUUUGCUGCCACAAGUAAUCAACUUACUUUUUUUUUUCUUUUGGUAUCUGGGAUUGAACUCACAACCUUGCACUUGCCAGACAAGUGCUAUGCCACUGUGCUAUAUCUCAGAGAUAUACUUAAAAUUACUCCCAAUAGUUGUUUUUUUUUUUUUUGGUAUCAGGGAAUGAACUCAUGACCUCAUACUCACUAGGAAAGCACUUGAGCUGCUGAGCUAAAUACCUGGCCUUCAACUUAUUUUUGAAUUGCAAGCAUAUGAACAAAUUAAAAUAGCUGCCACAAGGGUUUGGAGGAACUUCCUUUAAGGAGUGAGACAUCACUUUAUCUGACCUUCAUUCAGCAGUGUCCUGAUGAACCUUUUUAGGAUUUUGAAGUAUGCUUAUUUUAGGCUAGUAGGAAGAUUUUCAGCAAUAUAGAAAAUAACAAGAUAAUUGACCAACAAUUCGCCUUUUAAAAUGCAAUGAGUGGUGUAAAAAGACUUUAGCUUUUGGGGCCUUUGGCUGUCCAUGGGCACUUAAGCCUGACAGUGGCCCAGCUUAUACAUGUGUUGCCUUCCAAAUGUUUUGUAAAACUUUUCAUAUUUCCCUUACAGUGGGAAUUCCUUAUAAUACACAUGGUCAAAGAAUUGUUGACCAUGCUUACUAUAUGCUCAAAAUUCAACUACAAAAACAAAAACAGAAAUCCUUCCCUACAAAACUAUAUCUUAUAAUAGACUUCACUUGACAUUAUAUACUGUUGACUUGUUAAAUCUUAAUAGGGAUGGGACUACAGCAGCAGAAAAAAAAUUCAAUCAAGUAAAGGAAAAGAAGCUAGGAAAUGUCCUUUGGAAAGAUCUUCAGCCUGGACUGUGGGAGAGACUCAACCAGUACUCACAUGGGGGUGAGAGUAUGUUUGUGUCUUUACAAAAAAUGCUGAAUGAGAUCGACCUACAUGUCAGAGCUUGCCGUCUGGCUGUAUCAUGGACCCAGACCCAGAGAAGGAGUUGGUUCCAAUUGUCAAGAAGUUGAUGCUUAGUUCUGUAGCAGUGAUGCAUUCGAGAUUGCUACAACCAACAGACAAUUUGAGGCUAGAACCGACCUGGGGCCAAUUAAAGAAAUUCACACAGGAUUCCCAGGGAAUGAUAACCAAACAUAAAUGGGCAUCAAAGGUCUGAAUAGAUGAUAGAGUGCAUGGAGAUACUUUGCUGAAAGCUAUGUGAAGAAAAGGGACAUGAAAGUUACAAGAGUUCUGGGUAGAUAUAGAUACAGUUAUAUCUUUGUCCUAUUCGUGAACAACUGUUUUUCAUUUGAGCUCAACAAUUUUUUUCUCUUUCCUUUUUCUUUUGCAUUUUGGGAUCAUUUGUUCACAAUUAAUUUGAUUUAUAGGUUUCAAAAACAUGCUUCCACCUGGCUUUCCAGCUGGUCAAAAUGGUAUCAAAAUUGGUUUUCUCAUAGUUCAUCAGAAAUUUGUUAAGGUAACUAAAUGGGGAUUCUACAGGCUUGGGUCAAAGCUCCCUUUGGUGAAUAAAAGAAUAGCUGCUUGAGAAAAAACCACAUCCCUUUAUUUAUUAAUAGGAAGCCCCAAUGAUCUCACAAUAAAUGUUGGCAGCCCAAUAAAUGUUAUUGAAAAUAUAUUAUUGUGAUAUGCUUAUAUGGGUCAUCACCAAAAGAUUAAAAAAGAUUCUAGAAAUGGGGCAGUAAGGUUUUCUGAUUUGGAGAUGCUCUGGUACAAAACUAGUUUCCAUAUGGCUAUGACAGUUGUUAUUAAUCUCAUGAUGUAUUAAAUGUAUUCAUGCCUUCUGAUGUAUAGGUAUUCCAAAAUGUAAAAUGGGGAUUGUUUAUAGUGAUUGACUUUUCUUUCAGAUUCAGACACUUGCCUUUCUUUUGUGCUCUAGCUCUUCGUAAUAAGAGGUUCAUGACAUACCAACAUGAGAUCACCAGUGAAUAAUAAUAACAAAAAUUUAUGUGAUGUAUAUGCUCUGUAUGUGCCACUGUACUUAGAAAUAUCUAGAUAAUAUCAUGAAUUUCUUCAUUGGCAUCCCAUUAAAGGACAACAAAUUAGGUAAAAGCUUUUAAAAGGGGUAUUUUAUGUCAAAAUGUAGAUUUAGGUGUAUUACAAAAAUGUCAUCAUGAUUGACCCACUGCAAUAUUAUAUAUGGCUUUUGAGUUCUAAUUUUCUGUGAAAAAAGUAUGUAACUUUUGUUUUUCAACAGUCUAUAGGGUUUCAACUACUAGGACAUCUAUGGUUGCUUCUACUUUGUAUUUCAAGGUACCUGAUACUCAGAUAAAAUUAUAAUAUUAAACUCACUUUAAUGUGUAAUGUUAUUAACCUUCUCUUCUGAAUGUUCAACAACUGAGGUUUGGAGACCAAAACUGGAACAAUAGAUGGACUAGGAGUAUAACCAACAUUUUAGCCCCAGCCCGCUGAGGUCAAUAAGGCCUUAUCAUGAGAGAACCUCUACUUCAACAUCCUGUAACUCAGUAAGUCCAUCAUCUUCUGACCAAGAGAUUGUUGGACCACAGAGGAAGGAGAUAACAAUGUAUAACGUGCCUAAGGAGAGUCAGAAGGAGAGAAAAAUCUCCCAAGCUUUGACAGAAAGCAACUUGGUCAAGCAAUGCCUAUGAUUCAUCCAAUGGCUAACACUAACAGAAGAACUGAGAGGUGCUAUACAUGGUUCCAAGGUAGAGCCUUCGGAGAUUUAACUGACCUUAAUAGAUAGCAAGAAACUAAUUUUAAUGAAUACAGGUCUUGUUUUAACUUAGUCUUGCACAUCCCGCAGAAAAGUAUAGCUACAAGAUGUAUAAAAAUGUCAUAGUAAUAUGCUAGAUAUAAAAGAAACUCAAAUCACUAACACCUUCUUAUAAUUUCCAGCUACACUGCUAACUGACUACUGUUAGGGGAUAAUGGGAUGUAUAGAGUUAAAUUGCUGAAUGGCAGGGACCUAACAUCCUUAGAUUGGGAAUCUUUCAUUUAAAUGAGUAAGUCCACUCAAAAUGUAAAUAUUUUGAGAAGGAGAAGGUCUUCUGCAGAAUCCUUCAAACACUGUUCCUCCAACUCCAACAGACCACCCAUUGCUUGCAACUACAAAAUAGAAAAAGGGGAGAUGUGGGGAGCAGCUGAAGCUGGAGCUCAGUUACACAUGUGAGGCUGAAACAAGGCCAGCCCCAAGGACAGAGUGCCCAAGGCAAGCCAUGUGAGCAACCUGCCCUAGCCCUGAGGACAUGAGAAACUUGAGGCGAGCCAGGCAAACAAAUUGUUAGGCAAAGGGGUUUCACAUCUUAUUAACCUCCCAAGUGUAUAAAUAAGUGCUCUGCAGUCAUUGGAUGGUUCUUUUUCUCCCACCAGGAGAAAGUCUUCUCUCCAUAGGUUACUAUGGUUCUGACGCUACUGUAGUGUAAAAAUUGUCAACUGGAUGAAUUGGAGUAUCCUUAGUGUUCAUCCAGUCCAACAGCUGCAUUUGAUAAAUAAGAAACAAGCUGAUUGAACUACCAUGUCUUGUUGAAAUGAAAAUCAGCUUUCAUCCAGGCUCCUUUCCACCUAAUAGUGUUUUGUAAAAAUUUUCCCAAGUGGGACUCUGUUUUGUAUUUCACAAAUUCCAUGAUGGAAAGAUACAGCUACCAAAAACCUGACCUCAAGUUUCUGCAUUCUGACUCUUUUCUUCAUUUCUUUAUCCUCCACCAUCCUUUCCCUGGGAAUUUUAAGAGCUGUGCUACAUGUGGCAAAUAAGGACCUCCCUGGUGGCUUAUGUUUUUGUCCUGAUGUCAUGGGGACAAGUGGAUGUAAAAAUCUUUAUGGUUGGAUUUCUUGAAUAUUUGACUAAUGUACUUCCAUCUUUUCCUAUAGAUUGCAAGUUCAUAAAAGUGGAAUGUCCUCUUAAAGAUAUGAAGUGGAUUUUCAUCAUCUGAAAAACAGUCCAUAACUCGCAAAUGGGUUGUCUAUAAAGGUUGUUUCUAAGGCAAUGACUUGAAGUUAAAAAUUUCAUACAUGACUGUUAGGUUCCGAGGUUAACUGAACAAGACUUCCCAAAGCAGUCACGUUACUUUUUGUAAUUUUGAAGCAGCACUACAGCCUUGGAGAGGCAUGACAGUGUACUGGACCAGUGAUUCCCAAGUGGGCUGACAAAGGCAGUUUCUAAAAGCCUCUUCUGGCACAGGGCAUCUGUUGCAUCCCUCCAGUAAUCUCUCCUUCUGGUAGCUUUUCCCACCUUACUACUGUGCUGCUUACCGGCUAUCAAAUACACACAAACUGUUCAGGAAAUAUUCAGGGCACUCACCUACAAAAUCAAAUUUUCAAGUUCCAUUGUAUACUUUUUCCCUACAUGAACACAUAUUAUCUAAACCUUUGCUGGAACAUGUCAUAGCCUUCCUCAGUUACCUUCCUUUGCUUAGUGCUCUUGGCAUGCAGACUCCAGUUCCCAUUAGUCUAGCUUUUCUUUGCUCCUCAUCUCAUAUGCUGCCUCCUCUUAUGACUUCUCCCAAUUGGAGCUCACUUUUCUCGUCUCCACAUAUUCUCAUCCCGUGAUUAUCUGUCAUAUGGCAAUUAAUAUAGUCUUUAUGAGAUAGUGUUUUGUAGGUUGUUUUUCAUCCCUGUACAUUUCUGAAGCCUAGGAGCCAAUAUCUUAUCCAACUGUGAGGACCUCACAAUUCCAAGCAGUGAGCUUUGGAUAUGGUAGUUGCCCUACAAAUGCUGGAGGUGUUGAACUGCCUCCCUACCCCAUUCCACUUACAUAUGUUCUGGGAAGGAGUGGGAAGCCUGUGUAGGUGCUGGUAGGAAGCCAGAGAGGGAACUGUCUGUGUUGCUUUCAAAUGUUAAUGUCCAUAGACAGCUAUAAGUGCUGUCUACCUUUGGCUUUGAGUCAGAUAUAAUAAAACAAAAUCAGCCGUUAGGACUAAUGCUUUUUAACUUUUGUUGUAAGGCUUGUAAAAGAUGUUUGCUAUCCUGACUGGUGUCAGAUUCAAUAAGUAUAAUUAAUCUCUGGAAACACAUAGAUGAAAUUACUUUAAUCAUAGCUUUCAUUUGUUUCUGACUCUCUGAGUCUCUUGGGCAUUGAGCAGAACCCUUUGGCCCUCUGCCACAUGAGGCACCUUGAGGCCUGCUCCCAGUCUUGGCUUGGAAAUAGUGAAUCUUUCUGGGCAUUCAAAACUUGCAAGUGUAAAACAUUUGCUUUUCUAUAUCCAUCUCCUGGGGACUUACUGAAGGAAAGUUUAUUUGCCCUGGAGGGAUGACCUUUCCUUUCUUCUCUUACCCUGUUUUCUAGCUAGUAAAGUGAAGGAACUUGGCACCUGCCUCAGGAAAGGUUCAGUGGGACCACAGUCCUGUAAAUGGAUGGCACUCUCUCACGCAUUUUCAGAUUGCCAAAGAACUUCUCUCUAUAGGUUACUAUGGUUCUGACGCUACUGUAGUGUAAAAAUUGUCAACUGGAUGAAUUGGAGUAUCCUUAGUGUUCAUCCAGUCCAACAGCUAGCUGCAUUUGAUAAAUAAGAAACAAGCUGAUUGAACUACCAUGUCUUGUUGAAAUGAAAAUCAGCUUUCAUCCAGGCUCCUUUCCACCU
Long non-coding RNA from Cavia porcellus (domestic guinea pig), 7865 nucleotides. RefSeq lists it as uncharacterized. The transcript has 4 exons. Lineage: Eukaryota; Metazoa; Chordata; Mammalia; Rodentia; Caviidae. The record is from RefSeq and is a predicted model, not a curated record.